GACGAACGCUGGCGGCGUGCUUAACACAUGCAAGUCGAACGAAGAGCGACGGAAGCUUGCUUCUAUCAAUCUUAGUGGCGAACGGGUGAGUAACGCGUAAUCAACCUGCCCUUCAGAGGGGGACAACAGUUGGAAACGACUGCUAAUACCGCAUACGAUCUAAUCUCGGCAUCGAGGAUGGAUGAAAGGUGGCCUCUACAUGUAAGCUAUCACUGAAGGAUGGGAUUGCGUCUGAUUAGCUAGUUGGAGGGGUAACGGCGCACCAAGGCGAUGAUCAGUAGUCGGUCGGAGAGGAUGAGCGGCCACAUUGGGACGGAGACACGGCCCAGACUCCUACGGGAGGCAGCAGGGGGGAAUCGUCCGCAAUGGACGAAAGUCUGACGGAGCAACGCCGAGGGAGGGAUGACGGCCUUCGGGUUGGAAAGCUCUGUUAAUCGGGACGAAAGGCCUUCUUGCGAAUAGUGAGAAGGAUUGACGGUACCGGAAUAGAAAGCCACGGCUAACUACGUG
Molecule: ribosomal RNA, 510 nt
Filed under: uncultured bacterium
Lineage: Bacteria
Description: partial 16S ribosomal RNA
Rfam family: Bacterial small subunit ribosomal RNA
Source: RNAcentral